UCUUAUCAUGAGAUACUUCCGGUUCAUCUCACUUAGUUAGGAACCUUCCUAAGGAAAAAAAGACUAUUGGAGCGCAGCAUAUUGCCGUUUUUUCUGCUGUCGUUGGCUUGCGUGUGUCGUCAUCGGUCAUGACCUUUGUGGGAGGAGUGCCGAGACGCGGCGAAACGAGGUCAGAGAACAGAUUUAGACGAAUGUUUGAACCGUUGCCUCGGUUUGUCAGUACCAUGAGAAAGCUUACUUAGCGAAGAAGCCUGGAUGCUAAAACAAGCUCUGAAGCUGCUUUUUCGUCGAACACGAGUGAGGCUAGACGCUGAACACACCUGCAGCGCGAAGGUGUCACCACUUCGUCCAUAACAUCGUCCACGAUCGCAGAGACAUGGUCCAUGAUCGCAGAGACGUGCAAAAGUCAGAAGUGACAGAGUUCCCUGAUUUGACGGCAUCGUCCGCGUUCACAGACAUUGUUGAUGAUCAGAGUGUCUUUGUACAAUGAAGUUCUUUGAGACCAGGACAGAGGCCUCCAGCACUUCGUGCGAGACGCUGAGACGCUGUCCACGAUCGCAGAGAGGAACGAAGAAGUUCCAGGACAGAGGCCUCCAGGAGGAGAAGACGACAGCAGCUGAAGACCUGAAGUGGAUGAAAGAAACAAAAGUUAAAAGUGUUACGAAGCUGUUAGAUAAAACAGUGUUGGUUUCCUGUUCAAGUGAAACUGUUUUUCUCUACCAUCUAUAAAGUAGUUUUAGUGUGUGGAAAAUGUGCCCAUGACUACACACAUUUUCCACACACUAAAAUGUCUUUAUUAAACACCUGUGAGAACAUUUAGCUGCUUAUGAUACAACUAUUUAAUUAGUAAUUGUACCACAAGCAGUUAAAUAAUCAUAAAGAUGCUUAGUAGACACAUUCAUCUUUGGAAAUUGUGGUCAAAUGUCUGUCAUUAUCUUUGCUGUGAUUUGUUAAAUGUUGUCUGGAAUAAAAUCAUUUUG
Molecule: long non-coding RNA, 980 nt
Organism: Lates calcarifer (barramundi perch)
Lineage: Eukaryota; Metazoa; Chordata; Actinopteri; Centropomidae
Exons: 4
Source: RefSeq, a predicted model, not a curated record